This 1456-nucleotide small RNA is filed under the name Drosophila pseudoobscura pseudoobscura. RNAcentral's name for it is "GA32236". The record is from RNAcentral. Lineage: Eukaryota; Metazoa; Arthropoda; Insecta; Diptera; Drosophilidae.
AAAUUGACAAAUUGGUCAUUUUGACCUAGUAAAUUAUAGAAAAAAAUAAAACCAAAAUUGAAAGUAAACCAAAAAAAAAAAAAAAACCAAAAAAGAACAUAAGAUGGAACCCCGAGAAAACGAUUGUAAAAUUUUAAUUAUUAUUAUUCAAUAAUAAAUACAAAAAAGGAAAGAUUUGACAGAAAUACAAACAUAUACAAUUAGGUUUUAUUUCAAUCCAUAUUCCAACUUCAACACGUAAUUACCCGUAAUUGGAUCCCGGAGAGAGGAUCCUGAUGCUCAAGACCAAAACGAAAACGAAAACGAAGACCAAGAUGAAGCCGCCUUCAAAAGUCGGAAAGGUAAAUUGAGUCUCGUGCUAGACAUAAGCUGAUAAUUAAGAUAUAGGCAAUGUACAAUAGAACGAGUACACAAUUACGCUAAUGCUGACACCAAGCACAUAUCUGACCAAUGUAAAUAUGUACAGAUGUUCAGUCGAUCAAUAUUCAUAAAAUCCUAUUCCUAGCAUCAUGAAUUCAUUGCAAAGCGACACUUGACACAUUGUACAAACCAAAGCUUAGUUUACUUAGUCAUAGAAAACAAGCGAACAUUAUAACCUGAAGCAAAAACAGGGCAGCACAUUGCUCUGAUAUCAUAACAUAUAUUCAAAGUGUUAAAAUUUCCCGUCUGACUAUCAAGAAAUAGAAGCUUGCAAAUUUUACUAACGAAAAAUUCUGAUUCCCUGCGCAGUUUGUCAACAACCAGCUGAAAGUUAAAUUCAAAUCCAGUCGUUCCUUUACGAUCUCCUUAUAACAGAAAUAACUAUAAAACAAAAACAUAUGUAUAUCCAGCUAGCAAAUGCCAAUCAACAGAUCUUACCCUCGAAUAUCGAAAAGCAGAAGGGAUGCUGCGUGUAUGUAUGACCAGUGUUUUACCAAAUCUCAUUUUUAUUAAACAACAACCAACAAUGGGAAGUUGACAUACUGUUUUCGCAAGAAAUACUUUCCUAUUUAAUCGAAGCUUUCGGCAUGAUUUCUUUAUAUCCCACCGCUAUUUAUCCAAAAACUUCACUCUAAUUAGACCACAUUUUCUCAAAAAUUGUACAAGAUUCCCCUAUAAUCAAGUCAGAUUUCCCAAUACUCCUGCAUUGUUUUUGAAUUAGUUUUUGGCAUGUUCAAAUCCCCCUUUAGUUGUUACUAUGAUUAAAUUUAUUAACGUAUUGACGUCUAAUUUUCCCCUUGACUGCUAACUUAUUUGCGAGUAUCUCGGAGACCUGGAAGCGAAUAUAUCGUGGACAACGUUGGACACGUGCAAUUGCAGUAUACUGGAAUAUGGAACAUCAUUUAUAAUUAAUCUAGAGUAUAAAAAUGUGUGUUUUAAUUUUAUCUUUGUUAAGAUGUUUUUGUACAUCGUAUUCGAGUACAGAAAUGUAUAUUUCUAAUUUUGUUUAAAAUAAAAUUUGUAACGUUUUGAAAAA